Molecule: long non-coding RNA, 2608 nt
Organism: Ailuropoda melanoleuca (giant panda)
Lineage: Eukaryota; Metazoa; Chordata; Mammalia; Carnivora; Ursidae
Exons: 4
Source: RefSeq, a predicted model, not a curated record
AAGGAGAAUAUGCACCAAAGCGUGGAAGCCCACAGCGGUACAGCAUUCUACAUAAGGAUUUUUAAUGAUUUGUUUGACCUGUUGAUGGACGUCCGGGUUCCUGGAAGUUCUUUGCUGUCAUCAACAAUGUUGCAACAAACAUCUGUGUGUUCACAUGCCCCUGGGCAGAAGUUUCUCCGGCUUACACUGUAAGUGGGAUUUCAGGGUGAAAGAAGUGGGCAUUUUUAACUUCACUUGGUAUUUUCAUCUGCUCCCGAAAGGGAUUUCCCAUCUUUCCACAGUGUCUCGGCGCUCCUGAUCCCCCACAUCCUCGGAGACACUCGGCCCUGUCAGACUUCUUGAUCUUUGCACAUCUGGAUGGAGGCUUGGAGUCAAAUUUGAUUGAAGAGCAAGAGGGAAAUGGCUGUUUCUGUGCACCUGCACGUGCAGUCUCGGCAGCCCGAGCUAAGACAAUGGAAUAUUAUCCUGCCUCACAAAGGAAAGAAAUCCUGAUGCACACUAAAGCAAGGCUGAACCUCGAGGGCAUUCUGCUCAGGGAGAUGAGUCAGUCACAGAGGGACAUCCACUGCAGGAUUGUGCCUACAUGGGACAGCUUGAGAGACAGGGACUGGUCCUCAGAACCGCCUUGGAAGAUGAAUACUAUGCUUCCCAUUCGUCCCAUCGGGAAACUGAGGCACUGCCCACGUCGGCACCCGGCGGUGCAUGGGCGGGAUCCAGCCCGCAGAUGGGGUUUGCAGGUAGGGUUUUGCUGGAGUGCGGCCACGCCCGUUCAUGACCCGCGGCCUCCGCCGCCUUCACCAUCCACCUGCCACCUGGAGGGGUUGCCGCGGAGACCGCGCAGCCCCCAAAGCCCGGAAUAUUCGCCUCCAGCUCAGGGCAGCUUCGCGCACCGUUUGCAGGGCCCAGUGCAAAAUGAAGAUUCGAGGCCCCUUGUUUAUAGACUGUUGAGACUCUCAAAGCAGAGGCAGCGGAGCGUUAAAUCAAACGCGGCCCCUCUGAGCAGGCGGCCCCUGUGAUUGUCCAGCGUGAGGCCCAGGAAGGCCCCUCCUCCGCCCGUCACAGAAAAGCCGAGCAACCCUGCGCUAGAAAAUCCGGGGAGUCACCCUAACGUCACGCGGGCUGAGGUGCAGAACGAGGGUUUGGAGCGAAGCGGGGGUCCCGGAUCUGUGCUCCUGACCUCUCUGCUUCCCUGGGGGCUCCCGCCAGAGCGCCGGUGCCCUCAAGGAGACUCCGAGUUUGAGCACCGGGUGUCCACAGAGCCCAGAGACCUCCUGGACGAGGCAGCUCUAACCGGUUCCUGCUACGAGGCCUGAACCCGUGCCCUGCCCUCCACCUCCCCUGCACCGCGGCUGACUCACCCGGAUGCCUGUGAGGCCUCCUCCCCGGGUUUCCUGGUCGCCUCCCCUCCGACCCUCUCCCCUCCACCACCCAUUCUGCUCACCUGUCGCUCGCUUCCUCCCUUAGAACCCCUGUGGCCUCCCGGCUCUGUCCCAAACAAGCCUCGCUCGCUGGCCUCAAGCCCUUGCCCUGGCUUCUCCUUCCAGGGCACCUGUAGGAUCUCCGGGUCUCACGGCUGCUCUGUGUCUUCCAGGUCUCAGCUCACUUGUCCUCUGCUCAGAGGGGCCUUCCCGAGCCCCUCAGUCCCUGUGACAGCAGCUAGUAGCUAUCCUGCCGACUCGCUUGCCCCCCGCCCAUCUCCCUACUUUCCCGGAGAGAGAGGGCAGCUCCAGGGCCCACGCCUGGCAUAGCAGGUGCUCGGUAAGUGCUUGUUGACUGAAUAAACGGAGUAUCAGAGUGAUCUUGUAACUGGAGAGUCCAUCGUCUUAAAUGCAAAAGUUAUCCAUCUACCGUGAUGUGUUCGCUCCCCAGGGGCCUGAGGCCAAUGACCUUAGGCAAGUCAUGUGACCUGCUUGAGCCUUGGUUUCCUUUUCUGUGACACCAAACGCUGGCCGAGAGGGCUCGCGAGACUCUUUCCCAAUUCUGCAUCACUACUCACUGCCGACCCCUCUGUUGCCAUUUGCCACCCUUCCCACUGGGGAAGGAAGAAAAAGGACCCAUUAAUCGUGUCCAGGGAAAGAGAUGAAGCUUCCAACCCUACAAAGAAAAGAUGUCCUUGUCUCGUGUUCACGUGUUCUGCCUUCGGCAUCCAUGUUUUAAUGCUGUAGCUCUCGAACGUUUUGGAACAUCAAGUGCAGCCUUGAGCUCCUCCGGAGGUCCUGACGGGGCUGCCGUGCCUUCGACCGAAGGGAGCAAAUCCACCGCCAGCUCGAGGCUGGUGCUGAAGUCGCUUUAAGGUCCUCGUCACGUGGAACGCUGAAGAGUGAACGUACAAAGAUUCCUUUGAGCGUCUUCAGUCUAGACUCCAAAUGCCUGAAAGUCUGCACAUAAUCAUUAACUUUUAUUAGGGAUGUAUCGGGCUUUACUGCAGAAAUAAUGUAAUUAUUUGCUAGCUCCCCAUGAGCUCUCACUCGUAGGGGCAGGAGGACCUGUGUGGAGAGCUGCUAGAUUUGGGACAGAGAUUUUCCUCGGGCACUUUCCAGUUAUUACAGCCAGGGAAAGGCCAUAAAGUUGAUAUCCGGCACCAGAUCACUUUUACAGCUGGAAACAA